RNAcentral lists this non-coding RNA (23 nucleotides) under Arabidopsis thaliana (thale cress). Lineage: Eukaryota; Viridiplantae; Streptophyta; Magnoliopsida; Brassicales; Brassicaceae. The record is from RNAcentral.
AAUGUAAAGGCGGACAAAUUGGC